GACGAACGCUGGCGGCGUGCCUAAUACAUGCAAGUUGAGCGAUGAAGAUUGGUGCUUGCACCAUUUUGAAGAGCAGCGAACGGGUGAGUAACGUGUGGGGCAUCUGCCUUUGAGCGGGGGACAACAUUUGGAAACGAAUGAUAAUACCGCAUAAUAACUUUAAACAUAAGUUUUAAGUUUGAAAGAUGCAAUUGCAUCACUCAAAGAUGAUCCCGCGUUGUAUUAGCUAGUUGGUGAGGUAAAGGCUCACCAAGGCGAUGAUACAUAGCCGACCUGAGAGGGUGAUCGGCCACAUUGGGACUGAGACACGGCCCAAACUCCUACGGGAGGCAGCAGUAGGGAAUCUUCGGCAAUGGACGAAAGUCUGACCGAGCAACGCCGCGUGAGUGAAGAAGGUUUUCGGAUCGUAAAACUCUGUUGGUAGAGAAGAACGUUGGUGAGAGUGGAAAGCUCAUCAAGUGACGGUAACUACCCAGAAAGGGACGGCUAACUACGUG
RNAcentral lists this ribosomal RNA (497 nucleotides) under uncultured bacterium. RNAcentral describes it as "partial 16S ribosomal RNA". It matches the Rfam family "Bacterial small subunit ribosomal RNA", at positions 28 to 507 of the family's 1533-position model. The record is from RNAcentral.